CUCCCCUGCCCUGGACCUCGUCGGCCUCCGUCCGUCUCCCCAGGUGAACGCGUAUCCCUCCGCCGCGGCCGUCCCUGCCGCCGGGCUCGCAGCCCCACAGUCCCCGGAUGGAAGCUGUUAUGGCCGCCAACAGCGACUCGACGGCCUAUGGCGAGACAUUUUUUCAGUAUUUCUCCUGACUGUGGCCUUCUCCGAGUCUUACAUAUUUACCUCUUCUGUGUAUGUGGAAAAACGUUAAAAAGGCUGAAGAGUUGAAGUCAAGUCUUUUCUUAAUGUGAGAAUGAAAUGGGGAAGUUCCAGAACCUUGAGAAUAACUCGGCACAGUAGUCUUUUUUGCUGCAGGAACUAAGUCUAAUCUCAAGAAAUCAUUUAAA
Molecule: long non-coding RNA, 374 nt
Filed under: Strigops habroptila (Kakapo)
Lineage: Eukaryota; Metazoa; Chordata; Aves; Psittaciformes; Psittacidae
Description: lncRNA (ENSSHBG00005020636.1)
Source: RNAcentral